AUAAACUUCACUAAAAAUCAUGGCGUUCAUUACAUAAUUUCAAUCAAACUUGGUACAUUUCUGUUCGCCUUGACCAUAAUUUGGACCCACUUGCUUGUAGGCCUUUGACCCAUUUAUCUUUAUACCUGUCCUAGACUAAAUAUAAUAACUAAUAAAUGGUGAAAAAUAAAGACAACAAGGGCGUAGGCCCAUUACAAAUGAAAUACAAAAAUAUAUACGGAAAAAAAAGUUGAGGUCUUUUAAUCCCAACUUCUUCAACUCUUCAACUCGCUUCCAGUUCUUCAUUUUUGAAACAUGUUCACCUUGUAGGGAAUGAUUGACUCGAACAAAAGGAAGUUAAGCCUCUACGACUCAUCAAUAAUGCAAGGGAAAAUUUGAGUUCAUAAUGAACUCGGUCAAUCUUGUUGAUGGUAACGAACUGUGGAUGGAACGAGCAGGGGAAACAACCUUUCCCAUAAGAAAAUUGAAACGGAAGCAACAAACGAGAAAAUCCCUGCAUGAUAAUGAAAUCAAAAUGCUGGAAAUUGUUGUCUCGUACACUUAGUAUGCGUUACAUAUUUCUUAUAGCUUCUCUUUUUUUCCGCUUUAGUCGAGGAAUUUCAAUCUGAAAGAAAUUUCUUCCUAACUUUCGUUGAACUUUAUUUCAACAGAAGAAUCUCAAAAGCAUUUAGCAAGUCUCUCCAAAAAUUCCUAUCUCUGUGAACUCUUUUUUUCGCUAAAAAAAUCCGCCCAAGAACAGUGAGAAAGAGAAUACUUAUAGAAAUAUAUUAGGAUUUUUGGAUUUUGAGAGGGGAAAGGCGAGGGCAAAAUCAAUUUUUACCAUAGCUUUG
RNAcentral lists this unclassified non-coding RNA (830 nucleotides) under Hevea brasiliensis (rubber tree). The record is from RNAcentral. Lineage: Eukaryota; Viridiplantae; Streptophyta; Magnoliopsida; Malpighiales; Euphorbiaceae.